This 264-nucleotide ribosomal RNA is filed under the name uncultured Planctomycetota bacterium. RNAcentral describes it as "uncultured planctomycete partial 16S ribosomal RNA". It matches the Rfam family "Bacterial small subunit ribosomal RNA", at positions 567 to 828 of the family's 1533-position model. The record is from RNAcentral. Lineage: Bacteria; Pseudomonadati; Planctomycetota.
AGCACGUAGGUGGGUUUGUAAGUCAGAUGUGAAAGCCUUCUGUUCAACGGAAGAAUUGCAUCUGAAACUGCAGAUCUUGAGUGUAGGAGGGGAGAAUGGAACUUCUGGUGGAGCGGUGAAGUGCGUAGAUAUCAGAAGGAACGCCGGCGGCGAAAGCGAUUCUCUGGCCUAUUACUGACACUGAGUGUGCGAAAGCUAGGGGAGCAAACGGGAUUAGAUACCCCGGUAGUCCUAGCCGUAAACGAUGGGCACUAAGUAGAGGGG